GCAAGACUCCAUCCAAAAAAAAAAAAAGUGUGACCUGAGCUGAGUAUUGGAGGACAAAUAAAUGAUGUUCUGGGAAGAGGAAUGUGAAUGUAUAUAUAAAAUAUGUAAGUGUGAAAUACGGCAUAUUUGAGCCAUGCAUUAUUUGGGGAACUGCCAGAAAUUCAGCAUGCCUGAAAUUUUGGGUGUAUAUAAGACUGUUAGGGCCAGGCACGGCGGCUCAUGCUUGUAAUCCCAGCACUUUGGGAGCCGAGGCAGGCGAAUCACAUGAGGCUAGGAGUUUGAGACCAGCCCGGCCAACAUGGCGAAACCCUGUCUCUACUGAAAAUACAAAAAAUUAGCCAAACCUAGUGGCACUUGCCUGUAAUCACAGCUACUCGGGGGGAGGGCUGAGGCACAAGAAUCGCUUGAACCCGGGAGGCAGAGGUUGCAGUGAGCCAAGAUCGCACCACUGCACUCCAGCCUGGAGACAGAGCGAGACCCUGUCUCAAAACAAAACAAAAACCUGCUAGAAAUGCCAUUGUCCCUUCUUGUACCCUUCCCCUAGAAAGGUCCCUUUUUUAUUCUUUUUUAUCCUCUUUCACUUUCUCUUUACAUAACUUGGCUCAAGGCUCCUCGGCUUGCAAAUGAUAAGAGGUGGAAAUCAAAGCCCUGAUUCAUCUCUCUGUCUCUAGUCUGUACUCCUUCUCUUAUGCUACUUUGAAGAUUUUCCAUUCUUUGAAUAAAAUUUGUCAUUAUUUUACUAGGAUUUUUGUGAGGGAGAUUGUGAUAGGUUGUGCUUUACUAGACUAAUUUUGGUCAUUACAUUUAGAUUUUAUAGAGCUAAUAGGAUGAGUGCAAGUAGGGGAAGAUGUACUCCAUAUUAAUUCAAUUAAAUAUACAUAUACUGAAUGCAGUUGAACGUAACUAUUGUGUUAGCUAUUAUUGAAAAUACAAAUCAGAUUACAUUUUCUGUCCUUAAGAAGCUUAUAUUCUAAUACAGGAAAUCAUGCAGGAAAAAAAUCUAAUGCCAGAUGGUUCGUCAAACAGCUGUCUGUUAAGCUUAGCACUAGGGCCAUGUUUCUCAACUUUUAUUUCCAUUAUCAGCCCCCUUAUGGAACCCUUUUAGACCUGUUUUUCCUAUUCAGCACCCCACUGUAAAAUUUUAACACCAUAGAUACACUGUAUAUGCUUUAAUGGACUGUAUGUGUAUCUAUGCUUUAUAUAUAAAACAUACUUUUUUUCAUACCCUCCCAAAAAAACAAUUUUUUCCUCUUGGGGAGUAAUAUUGCCCAUGUUGAAAAUGUGUACACUAAACUAGAGUUACCAUUUGCAAGGUCUAAGAUUGGGAGUAAAAUUCUAGUUUCAGGAUUUUAGUAAAUAUCUAACCAUAUAUUAUAAUUUAGAAAUUAAAUUUUCUGAGUUCAGGUAAAACGCACAGCACUGUCAGCAUCAGAUCAAAAAAUAAAAUAAUUGUAUAUGCACAUACUUGUGUGGCUAAGCUUAAGCUUGUCACGUUGUGCAACUUCAGAGAGUAUAUUUACAGUAUAGUCUGUGUGAUGGGAAGGAAAGGAGGGAAUGAAAAAUCAUUUGAAAUUAUAACCAUGAUGUGAUUAAAAGACAAAAUCAUCUUAAAGUUUUCUUGACAUUCCUAUCUUGAACAGAAUUAUGUGUUUGUCC
RNAcentral lists this long non-coding RNA (1656 nucleotides) under Homo sapiens (human). Its description in RNAcentral is "non-protein coding TMEM202-AS1:40". Lineage: Eukaryota; Metazoa; Chordata; Mammalia; Primates; Hominidae. The record is from RNAcentral.